AGUGAACGCUGGCGGUAGGCCUAACACAUGCAAGUCGAACGGCAGCACAGUAAGAGCUUGCUCUUACGGGUGGCGAGUGGCGGACGGGUGAGGAAUACAUCGGAAUCUACUUUUUCGUGGGGGAUAACGUAGGGAAACUUACGCUAAUACCGCAUACGACCUACGGGUGAAAGCAGGGGAUCUUCGGACCUUGCGCGAUUGAAUGAGCCGAUGUCGGAUUAGCUAGUUGGCGGGGUAAAGGCCCACCAAGGCGACGAUCCGUAGCUGGUCUGAGAGGAUGAUCAGCCACACUGGAACUGAGACACGGUCCAGACUCCUACGGGAGGCAGCAGUGGGGAAUAUUGGACAAUGGGCGCAAGCCUGAUCCAGCCAUACCGCGUGGGUGAAGAAGGCCUUCGGGUUGUAAAGCCCUUUUGUUGGGAAAGAAAAGCGGCAGGUUAAUACCCCGCUGUUCGGACGGUACCCAAAGAAUAAACACCGGCUAACUUCGU
This 491-nucleotide ribosomal RNA is filed under the name uncultured bacterium. RNAcentral's name for it is "partial 16S ribosomal RNA". It matches the Rfam family "Bacterial small subunit ribosomal RNA", at positions 29 to 506 of the family's 1533-position model. The record is from RNAcentral.